AACCAGCACCUCAAGUGGUCAGGAUGAUUAUUGGGCCUAAAGCAUCCGUAGCCUGUUCUGUAAGUUUUCGGUUAAAUCUAUGCGCUCAACGUAUAGGCUGCCGAAAAUACUGCAGAACUAGGGAGUGGGAGAGGUAGACGGUACUCGGUAGGAAGGGGUAAAAUCCUUUGAUCUAUUGAUGACCACCUGUGGCGAAAGCGACUUUCUGGCUAUUUUCUGACGCUGAGGAGCGAAAGCGUGGGGAGCAAACAGG
RNAcentral lists this ribosomal RNA (253 nucleotides) under uncultured archaeon. Its description in RNAcentral is "partial 16S ribosomal RNA". It matches the Rfam family "Archaeal small subunit ribosomal RNA", at positions 474 to 727 of the family's 1478-position model. The record is from RNAcentral.